GACGAACGCAGGCGGCGUGCUUAACACGUGCAAGUCGAACGAUGAAGCUGGAGCUUGCUCCGGUGGAUUAGUGGCGAACGGGUGAGUAACACGUGAGCAAUCUGCCCUUGACUCUGGGAUAACUGCGGGAAACCGUAGCUAAUACCGGAUACGAGACCUGAAGGCAUCUUCGGGUCUGGAAAGAAUUUCGGUCAAGGAUGAGCUCGCGGCCUAUCAGCUUGUUGGUGGGGUGAUGGCCUACCAAGGCGACGACGGGUAGCCGGCCUGAGAGGGUGACCGGCCACACUGGGACUGAGAUACGGCCCAGACUCCUACGGGAGGCAGCAGUGGGGAAUAUUGCACAAUGGGCGCAAGCCUGAUGCAGCGACGCCGCGUGAGGGAUGACGGCCUUCGGGUUGUAAACCUCUUUCAGCAGGGAAGAAGCGAAAGUGACGGUACCUGCAGAAGAAGCACCGGCUAACUACGUGCCAGCAGCCGCCGUAA
This 483-nucleotide ribosomal RNA is filed under the name uncultured bacterium. RNAcentral's name for it is "partial 16S ribosomal RNA". It matches the Rfam family "Bacterial small subunit ribosomal RNA", at positions 28 to 523 of the family's 1533-position model. The record is from RNAcentral.